CGCCCAGAAAGAAGAGAAGAGAAGAGGAAGGGAGGGAGAGAGAGAAAGAAAACCUAGGUUGUGUGAUUUUCAACCGAUUGGAGCGAUUCAAAAGCCUAAAUCACUUAGAAUCUUCCCCUCUUUCAUAAUCCUAACUUUGUUUUGAGUGGGGAGCAUUGUGGAGAGGGAUAUUGGCUCUCAAAAAUUCGGCCCUUUGGUGAAAAUUGGGGUUUUGAGAGUUUCUACCUCCAUUGAAGCUUGAGGAGCCAUCAAUCCUUGGUUGUGUGACCAUUGGUGGAUUGAGACAUUUGGACCAACCGUGAGUGAUCAACCAUUGGAGCAAGCUAUGGAGCUUGAAUAGCUCAUUGGAAUUGGUGUAUGUUUGUAAAAGUUGAUUGCUGAAACUGUUGGUGAAGAACAAAGGUUGACUGAAGCAUUGAGGUAAGGAUGCUGCAGGAGCCUCUGGUGGCAAGUGGCCAUACCUAGAUUAUGCAUGAAAUAUGGCACUUCUUUGAGUUUAUGCAUGCCUUUUGUAGUUGACAUGUAUAGGAUUUUAUUUUGAAAGCCCAUGAUCAUUUGUAUAUCUUGAUUCAUUGGAUGAACUUAGCCUAUGCUCAUGCCUUUGGUUACACCUUUUGUUGAU
Long non-coding RNA from Gastrolobium bilobum, 622 nucleotides. RefSeq lists it as uncharacterized. Lineage: Eukaryota; Viridiplantae; Streptophyta; Magnoliopsida; Fabales; Fabaceae. The transcript has 3 exons. The record is from RefSeq and is a predicted model, not a curated record.